UGAUUCUGCAAAAUACUAGACAAAAUUCAUGAAACUACAUAUACUUACAGCAAUAUUUUUAGUGUUAAGAACAUAUAUAUACUUACCUAAUGAAACUUUUCUUUUCUAGAAUUAUGUUUCACCCUAAGUCAUAUGUAUGUUUCUUUUGAUUAUUGCAUGUUAUGUUUAACAAGCUAAUAGCAAAAUAAAACAUAGCAAAUGGCAUCACUAUGUUUGAUUUCUUGUGAAAUUCAUAUCUCUCAGUAAAAAUAGAUAAAAUAAUAGAUUAGAAUUUUAAAAUCUCUAGCCUGAAAUAUGUUGCUUAUGUUAAAUAGAAUUUUUCAUUAACUAGAUUAUCUGCUUAGAGCAUCCACUUGUAAAGACUGUUUAAAUACAUCUUACAAUAUGUACUUAAAAGUGUGCAAAUCCCAGGUGUAUCCUAUAAUCUAACUCAGUUCUGACACCAUGUGCCUAAAGAUGGGGUCAGAUUGUCCAGGCUAAAGGUUCAGUCCUACAGGAAUGCCUUCCCUCCACACUCAUAUGCCAAUUAAAAGCCCAAGUUGUUACAUGUUCUUCUGAGCAACUGGCUAUAAAUCAGAGGUUCCCAAGCCCCUCUCCUAGACUUGAGGAAUAUGCUAGAGUGGCUCACAGAACAGGAAAGCUCUUUACUCACUAGAUUAUUCAUUUACUAUAAAAUGGUACAAUUCAGGAACAGCUAGAUAGAAGAGGUGCAAGGCAAGGUAUGGGGACAGGGUGCUAAGCUUUCAUGCCUUCUCCAAGCACAGACACACACACACACACACACACCUGACAAGAAACUUAAUGCCUUAUUUGUAAAUUUAGUGGUUUUUCAUCUCUACUGUCAAAUGAUGUGAAAAGCUUUUCACUGGUUUCAUGAACGUCAGUCAAGUUUUAUAAUUUCUAAAUCUUAACUUAAUGUGCCAAAAAGCAUGGAUUACAUGCAUAUGGAUGUUUACAGUCCUGAAGCAAAUUAUCUCAAUGCUCAAAUGUUCACAUUUCAAUGUUCAAAUUUGUUUAGCUGAAAAAUAGAGAACAAAAAUUUACAGAGUAUUUUGCUUGAUCAGUCUGA
RNAcentral lists this long non-coding RNA (1069 nucleotides) under Bos grunniens (domestic yak). Its description in RNAcentral is "lncRNA (ENSBGRG00000002317.1)". The record is from RNAcentral. Lineage: Eukaryota; Metazoa; Chordata; Mammalia; Artiodactyla; Bovidae.